GCGCUAGUCGUAUAGGGGCUAGUAUCAAACCUUCCCAAGGUUUGGACCUGGGUUCAAAUCCCAGCUAGCGCA
Molecule: transfer RNA, 72 nt
Filed under: Nanobdellota archaeon
Lineage: Archaea; Nanobdellati; Nanobdellota
Also listed under: 1 other name
Description: tRNA-Gly
Rfam family: tRNA
About the family: Transfer RNA (tRNA) molecules are approximately 80 nucleotides in length.
Source: RNAcentral